RNAcentral lists this ribosomal RNA (497 nucleotides) under uncultured bacterium. RNAcentral's name for it is "partial 16S ribosomal RNA". It matches the Rfam family "Bacterial small subunit ribosomal RNA", at positions 28 to 507 of the family's 1533-position model. The record is from RNAcentral.
GACGAACGCUGGCGGCGUGCCUAAUACAUGCAAGUUGAGCGCUGAAGGUUGGUCCUUGUACCAACUGGAUGAGCAGCGAACGGGUGAGUAACGCGUGGGGAAUCUGCCUUUGAGCGGGGGACAACAUUUGGAAACGAAUGCUAAUACCGCAUAAAAACUUUAAACACAAGUUUUAAGUUUGAAAGAUGCAAUUGCAUCACUCAAAGAUGAUCCCGCGUUGUAUUAGCUAGUUGGUGAGGUAAAGGCUCACCAAGGCGAUGAUACAUAGCCGACCUGAGAGGGUGAUCGGCCACAUUGGGACUGAGACACGGCCCAAACUCCUACGGGAGGCAGCAGUAGGGAAUCUUCGGCAAUGGACGAAAGUCUGACCGAGCAACGCCGCGUGAGUGAAGAAGGGUGUCGGAUCGUAAAACUCUGUUGGUAGAGAAGAACGUUGGUGAGAGUGGAAAGCUCAUCAAGUGACGGUAACUACCCAGAAAGGGACGGCUAACUACGUG